GAUGAAGAACGUAGCGAAAUGCGAUAAAUAAUGUGAAUUGCAGAAUUCAGUGAAUCAUCGAGUCUUUGAACGCACAUUGCGCCCCCUGGUAUUCCGGGGGGCAUGCCUGUCCGAGCGUCAUUGCUGCCCUCAAGCACGGCUUGUGUGUUGGGCCCCCGUCCCCCCCUCCCGGGGGGCGGGCCCGAAAGGCAGCGGCGGCACCGCGUCCGGUCCUCGAGCGUAUGGGGCUUUGUCACCCGCUCUGUAGGCCCGGCCGGCGCCUGCCGACCACCAUCAAUCUUUUUUCAGGUUGACCUCGGAUCAGGUAGGGAUACCCGCUGAACUUAAGCAUAUCAAUAAGCGGAGGA
Molecule: unclassified non-coding RNA, 347 nt
Filed under: soil metagenome
Description: partial contains 5.8S ribosomal RNA, internal transcribed spacer 2, and large subunit ribosomal RNA
Rfam family: 5.8S ribosomal RNA (bases 1-120)
Source: RNAcentral